This 253-nucleotide ribosomal RNA is filed under the name uncultured bacterium. RNAcentral describes it as "partial 16S ribosomal RNA". It matches the Rfam family "Bacterial small subunit ribosomal RNA", at positions 524 to 776 of the family's 1533-position model. The record is from RNAcentral.
UACGUAGGGGACAAGCGUUGUCCGGAUUUAUUGGGCGUAAAGAGCGUGUAGGCGGCCAGAUAGGUCAGCUGUGAAAACUCGAGGCUCAACCUCGAGACGUCGGUUGAAACCAUCUGGCUAGAGUCCGGAAGAGGAGAGUGGAAUUCCCGGUGUAGCGGUGAAAUGCGCAGAUAUCGGGAAGAACACCCGUGGCGAAGGCGGCUCUCUGGGACGGUACUGACGCUGAGACGCGAAAGCGUGGGGAGCAAACGGG